CCCUUAGAUGUCCUGGGCCGCACGCGUGCUACACUGAUGCAUACAGCGAGUACUCCCAGCUCCGAGAGGCUGCUGGUAAUCAGCAAUAUGCAUCGUGAUGGGGAUAGAUCUUUGGAAUUAUAGAUCUUGAACGAGGAAUUCCUAGUAAUCGCAGGUCACCACCCUGCGUUGACUAAGUCCCUGCCCUUUGUACACACCGCCCGUCGCUCCUACCGAUUUCGAGUGAUCCGGUGAAUCAUUCGGACCGCGGCCCCUAGGCAUGCGGAAAGUCUAGUAAACCAUAUCACUUAGAGGAAGGAGAAGUCGUAACA
Molecule: ribosomal RNA, 311 nt
Filed under: uncultured eukaryote
Lineage: Eukaryota
Description: partial 18S ribosomal RNA
Rfam family: Eukaryotic small subunit ribosomal RNA
Source: RNAcentral